UGAGAGAAAGAGAAGGGUGUAAGAAACCGGAAGCUGAGGUGCUUCUUAAUCGGCGGUGUCAAAUCUGUAGCAGGGUAAAUAUGGGUAAUGAUUCUCAUAUUUUUUAGUCUUUCCAUAGCUCUAUAUAUUGUACAACUCAGUCGUGUUUCAUCUCUGUUGGUUUGUAGUAUAUAUGUAAGUAUAUCUGCAUAGACGUUUGGCUAUCAGACUUUACAAUUGGAGAUCAUCUUACCUACACAAAAGUGAUAAGAUUGAGCCUAUAUAUAAUUAUCACAUGCUAAAUAUUAUAUCUUCCCUUUAUUAGAGGUUGUUGUAUAAAAGAGGACUUGAGCAUAUUAAUUCGCACAUAUAUCUUUCUUAUUGGUUUUGAGAGAAACUAUUUACGUAUAUGCUGGUAUUCAUGCAUAUAACUUUGCACAAGCCAGAGUAAACCAAGCUAGCUUUCUCGGCAUGGAACUAUCCGCAUAUGUUCAUAGGUUUAAGAACUAAAUAGUAAAAAAAAGGGUAGACAGGAUGAGAUCAGAUUAAGUGUGAGGAUAUAAUUUUGUAUUUAUUUAUUUAGCCUUGUAAAUAAUUAUUGAGUUAUUUUAAAUAAGAAGAAUUUUAUUUUUCA
Non-coding RNA from Malus domestica (apple), 613 nucleotides. Lineage: Eukaryota; Viridiplantae; Streptophyta; Magnoliopsida; Rosales; Rosaceae. The record is from RefSeq and is a predicted model, not a curated record.